GCAGUCGAGCGGUAGCACAGAGAGCUUGCUCUCGGGUGACGAGCGGCGGACGGGUGAGUAAUGUCUGGGAAACUGCCUGAUGGAGGGGGAUAACUACUGGAAACGGUAGCUAAUACCGCAUAACGUCGCAAGACCAAAGUGGGGGACCUUCGGGCCUCAUGCCAUCAGAUGUGCCCAGAUGGGAUUAGCUAGUAGGUGGGGUAACGGCUCACCUAGGCGACGAUCCCUAGCUGGUCUGAGAGGAUGACCAGCCACACUGGAACUGAGACACGGUCCAGACUCCUACGGGAGGCAGCAGUGGGGAAUAUUGCACAAUGGGCGCAAGCCUGAUGCAGCCAUGCCGCGUGUGUGAAGAAGGCCUUCGGGUUGUAAAGCACUUUCAGCGGGGAGGAAGGCGAUAAGGUUAAUAACCUUGUCGAUUGACGUUACCCGCAGAAGAAGCACCGGCUAACUCCGUGCCAGCAGCCGCGGUAAUACGGAGGGUGCAAGCGUUAAUCGGAAUUACUGGGCGUAAAGCGCACGCAGGCGGUCUGUCAAGUCGGAUGUGAAAUCCCCGGGCUCAACCUGGGAACUGCAUUCGAAACUGGCAGGCUAGAGUCUUGUAGAGGGGGGUAGAAUUCCAGGUGUAGCGGUGAAAUGCGUAGAGAUCUGGAGGAAUACCGGUGGCGAAGGCGGCCCCCUGGACAAAGACUGACGCUCAGGUGCGAAAGCGUGGGGAGCAAACAGGAUUAGAUACCCUGGUAGUCCACGCCGUAAACGAUGUCGAUUUGGAGGUUGUGCCCUUGAGGCGUGGCUUCCGGAGCUAACGCGUUAAAUCGACCGCCUGGGGAGUACGGCCGCAAGGUUAAAACUCAAAUGAAUUGACGGGGGCCCGCACAAGCGGUGGAGCAUGUGGUUUAAUUCGAUGCAACGCGAAGAACCUUACCUGGUCUUGACAUCCACAGAACUUAGCAGAGAUGGUUUGGUGCCUUCGGGAACUGUGAGACAGGUGCUGCAUGGCUGUCGUCAGCUCGUGUUGUGAAAUGUUGGGUUAAGUCCCGCAACGAGCGCAACCCUUAUCCUUUGUUGCCAGCGGUUCGGCCGGGAACUCAAAGGAGACUGCCAGUGAUAAACUGGAGGAAGGUGGGGAUGACGUCAAGUCAUCAUGGCCCUUACGACCAGGGCUACACACGUGCUACAAUGGCAUAUACAAAGAGAAGCGACCUCGCGAGAGCAAGCGGACCUCAUAAAGUAUGUCGUAGUCCGGAUUGGAGUCUGCAACUCGACUCCAUGAAGUCGGAAUCGCUAGUAAUCGUAGAUCAGAAUGCUACGGUGAAUACGUUCCCGGGCCUUGUACACACCGCCCGUCACACCAUGGGAGUGGGUUGCAAAAGAAGUAGGUAGCUUAACCUUCGGGAGGGCGCU
Molecule: ribosomal RNA, 1404 nt
Filed under: Klebsiella pneumoniae
Lineage: Bacteria; Pseudomonadati; Pseudomonadota; Gammaproteobacteria; Enterobacterales; Enterobacteriaceae
Description: bacterial SSU rRNA
Rfam family: Bacterial small subunit ribosomal RNA
Source: RNAcentral